UUUGAUUUAGGAUUUAGGAUUUGGUUUAGGAUUUGUUUAGGAUUUGAUUUAGGAUUUAGGAUUUGGAUUAGGAUUUUAUUUAGGAUUUAAGACUUAGUUAGGGUUUGAUUUAGGAUUUAGGAUUUGGUUAGGAUUUGGUUUAAGAUUUGGUUAGGAUUUAGGGUUUGGUUUAAGAUUUGGUUUAGGAUUUAGGAUUUGGUUUAGAGUUUGAUUAGGAUUUGGUUUAGGGUUUAGGAUUUGGUUGAGAUUUGGUUUAAGGUUUGUUUAGGAUUUGAUUUAGGAUUUAGGAUUUUAUUAGGAUUUAAGAUUCAAUUUGUUGUGGCCUAAAGUUUGAAUGAAGUUCAAUAGGAUUUUAACUAGUAUUAAAUUAAGAUUGAAUUAAGAUGUAUUUGAGUGAUAUUUAUGAUCCUUCUAAUAUUUCUUUAAGUAUUCUUAUUAUUUGUUUGAAAUUUCUUUGAGAUUUUUUUGAAUUUGAUUAAGCUUGCUUAGCAUUAUUAUGGACUAAUUAGAGCAUUAUUGGUAUGCUAUUAGAAUUAAGUUUUUGUUGUUGUAAAUUCCAUUCUUUCUUCUACAGUCAAGUGCUCAAAGCAUUCUCAAGCAAGACUUCACGUAUUACGACAUAUUUG
RNAcentral lists this long non-coding RNA (626 nucleotides) under Physcomitrium patens. Its description in RNAcentral is "long non-coding RNA (PPAT_LNC005618)". The record is from RNAcentral. Lineage: Eukaryota; Viridiplantae; Streptophyta; Bryopsida; Funariales; Funariaceae.